GAGCUCGUAGGCGGUUUGUCGCGUCUGCUGUGAAAGACCGGGGCUCAACUCCGGUUCUGCAGUGGGUACGGGCAGACUAGAGUGAUGUAGGGGAGACUGGAAUUCCUGGUGUAGCGGUGAAAUGCGCAGAUAUCAGGAGGAACACCGAUGGCGAAGGCAGGUCUCUGGGCAUUAACUGACGCUGAGGAGCGAAAGCAUGGGGAGCGAACAGGAUUAGAUACCCUGGUAGUCCAUGCCGUAAACGUUGGGCACUAGGUGUGGGGGACAUUCCACGUUUUCCGCGCCGUAGCUAACGCAUUAAGUGCCCCGCCUGGGGAGUACGGCCGCAAGGCUAAAACUCAAAGAAAUUGACGGA
This 355-nucleotide ribosomal RNA is filed under the name bacterium. RNAcentral describes it as "bacterial SSU rRNA". It matches the Rfam family "Bacterial small subunit ribosomal RNA", at positions 565 to 917 of the family's 1533-position model. The record is from RNAcentral.